This 179-nucleotide ribosomal RNA is filed under the name uncultured bacterium. RNAcentral's name for it is "partial 16S ribosomal RNA". It matches the Rfam family "Bacterial small subunit ribosomal RNA", at positions 1314 to 1500 of the family's 1533-position model. The record is from RNAcentral.
GACCCCACGAAGCUGGAUUCGCUAGUAAUCGCGCAUCAGCCAUGGCGCGGUGAAUACGUUCCCGGGCCUUGUACACACCGCCCGUCAAGCCAUGAAAGCCGGGGGCGCCUGAAGUCCGUGACCGCGAGGGUCGGCCUAGGGUGAAACCGGUGAUUGGGGCUAAGUCGUAACAAGGUACC